This 500-nucleotide ribosomal RNA is filed under the name uncultured bacterium. RNAcentral's name for it is "partial 16S ribosomal RNA". It matches the Rfam family "Bacterial small subunit ribosomal RNA", at positions 30 to 523 of the family's 1533-position model. The record is from RNAcentral.
AUUGAACGCUGGCGGCAGGCCUAACACAUGCAAGUCGAGCGGAUGACGGGAGCUUGCUCCUUGAUUCAGCGGCGGACGGGUGAGUAAUGCCUAGGAAUCUGCCUGGUAGUGGGGGACAACGUUUCGAAAGGAACGCUAAUACCGCAUACGUCCUACGGGAGUAAGCAGGGGACCUUCGGGCCUUGCGCUAUCAGAUGAGCCUAGGUCGGAUUAGCUAGUUGGUGGGGUAAUGGCUCACCAAGGCGACGAUCCGUAACUGGUCUGAGAGGAUGAUCAGUCACACUGGAACUGAGACACGGUCCAGACUCCUACGGGAGGCAGCAGUGGGGAAUAUUGGACAAUGGGCGAAAGCCUGAUCCAGCCAUGCCGCGUGUGUGAAGAAGGUCUUCGGAUUGUAAAGCACUUUAAGUUGGGAGGAAGGGCAGUAAGUUAAUACCUUGCUGUUUUGACGUUACCGACAGAAUAAGCACCGGCUAACUCUGUGCCAGCAGCCGCCGCAG